Molecule: ribosomal RNA, 253 nt
Filed under: uncultured bacterium
Lineage: Bacteria
Description: partial 16S ribosomal RNA
Rfam family: Bacterial small subunit ribosomal RNA
Source: RNAcentral
GACAGAGGGUGCAAACGUUGUUCGGAAUUACUGGGCGUAAAGCGCGUGUAGGCUGUUCCGCAAGUCGGAUGUGAAAGCCCUGGGCUCAACCUAGGAAGUGCAUUCGAAACUGCGAGACUUGAGUCCUGGAGAGGAAGGCGGAAUUCUCGGUGUAGAGGUGAAAUUCGUAGAUAUCGAGAGGAACACCGGUGGCGAAGGCGGCCUUCUGGACAGUGACUGACGCUGAGGUGCGAAAGCGUGGGGAGCAAACAGG